This 407-nucleotide ribosomal RNA is filed under the name uncultured bacterium. RNAcentral describes it as "partial 16S ribosomal RNA". It matches the Rfam family "Bacterial small subunit ribosomal RNA", at positions 28 to 526 of the family's 1533-position model. The record is from RNAcentral.
GACGAACGCUGGCGGCGUGCCUAAUACAUGCAAGUAGAACGCAGUUGCGAACGGGUGAGUAACGCGUAGGUAACUGCCUCAUAGCGGGGGCUAACUAUCAGAAACGAUAGCUUAUACCGCAUACUGUGCGAUGGACCUGCGUGUUAUUAGCUAGUUGUUGCGGUAAAGGCUCACCAAGGCGACGAUACAUAGCCGACCUGAGAGGGUGAACGGCCACACGGGGACUGAGACACGGCCCAGACGCCUACGGGAGGCAGCAGUAGGGAAUCUUCGGCAAGGGACGGGAGUCUGACCGAGCAACGCGGCGUGAGUGAAGAAGGUUUUCGGGUCGUAAAGCUCUGUUGUUAGAGAAGCGGUGACUAACCAGAAAGGGACGGCUAAUUACGUGCCAGCAGCCGCGGUAAUAC